RNAcentral lists this non-coding RNA (85 nucleotides) under Desulfovibrio sp. RNAcentral's name for it is "ZTP sequence". It matches the Rfam family "ZMP/ZTP riboswitch aptamer (pfl RNA motif)". From Rfam's summary of the family: Previously known as pfl RNA. The record is from RNAcentral. Lineage: Bacteria; Pseudomonadati; Thermodesulfobacteriota; Desulfovibrionia; Desulfovibrionales; Desulfovibrionaceae.
AUCAUUCCGUGCAACUGGCGAACUUAAGUGGAUAACCACGAGGAAACACGGAAUCAGCUUCCUGCCGCUCGCCUGGGCCGCGUCA